CUAAACGACUCUCGGCAACGGAUAUCUCGGCUCUCGCAUCGAUGAAGAACGUAGCGAAAUGCGAUACUUGGUGUGAAUUGCAGAAUCCCGUGAACCAUCGAGUCUUUGAACGCAAGUUGCGCCCGAAGCCUUCCGGUUAAGGGCACGCCUGCCUGGGCGUCACGCA
This 166-nucleotide ribosomal RNA is filed under the name Sopubia cana. RNAcentral's name for it is "5.8S ribosomal RNA". It matches the Rfam family "5.8S ribosomal RNA". Rfam says of the family: 5.8S ribosomal RNA (5.8S rRNA) is a component of the large subunit of the eukaryotic ribosome. It is transcribed by RNA polymerase I as part of the 45S precursor that also contains 18S and 28S rRNA. Lineage: Eukaryota; Viridiplantae; Streptophyta; Magnoliopsida; Lamiales; Orobanchaceae. The record is from RNAcentral.